GGUGGCUCAGUGGUAGAGUGCUUGCCUUGCAUGCAUCAGGUCCUGGGUUCGAUUCCUUAGCACCA
RNAcentral lists this transfer RNA (65 nucleotides) under Dipodomys ordii (Ord's kangaroo rat). It matches the Rfam family "tRNA". From Rfam's summary of the family: Transfer RNA (tRNA) molecules are approximately 80 nucleotides in length. Their secondary structure includes four short double-helical elements and three loops (D, anti-codon, and T loops). The record is from Rfam by way of RNAcentral. Lineage: Eukaryota; Metazoa; Chordata; Mammalia; Rodentia; Heteromyidae.